CCUACGGGAGGCAGCAGUCGAGAAUCAUUCACAAUGGGGGAAACCCUGAUGGUGCGACGCCGCGUGGGGGAAUGAAGGUCUUCGGAUUGUAAACCCCUGUCAUGUGGGAGCAAAUUAAAAAGAUAGUACCACAAGAGGAAGAGACGGCUAACUCUGUGCCAGCAGCCGCGGUAAUACAGAGGUCUCAAGCGUUGUUCGGAAUCACUGGGCGUAAAGCGUGCGUAGGCUGUUUCGUAAGUCGUGUGUGAAAGGCGCGGGCUCAACCCGCGGACGGCACAUGAUACUGCGAGACUAGAGUAAGGGAGGGGGAACAGGAAUUCUCGGUGUAGCAGUGAAAUGCGUAGAUAUCGAGAGGAACACUCGUGGCGAAGGCGGGUUCCUGGACAUUAACUGACGCUGAGGCACGAAGGCCAGGGGAGCGAAAGGGAUUAGAUACCCCAGUAGUC
This 446-nucleotide ribosomal RNA is filed under the name uncultured bacterium. Its description in RNAcentral is "partial 16S ribosomal RNA". It matches the Rfam family "Bacterial small subunit ribosomal RNA", at positions 338 to 795 of the family's 1533-position model. The record is from RNAcentral.